This 253-nucleotide ribosomal RNA is filed under the name uncultured bacterium. RNAcentral's name for it is "partial 16S ribosomal RNA". It matches the Rfam family "Bacterial small subunit ribosomal RNA", at positions 524 to 776 of the family's 1533-position model. The record is from RNAcentral.
UACAGAGGGGGCAAGCGUUGUUCGGAAUUACUGGGCGUAAAGGGCGCGUAGGCGGCCUGCUAAGUCGGACGUGAAAUCCCCGAGCUCAACUCGGGAACUGCGUCCGAUACUGACAGGCUUGAAUCCGGGAGAGGGAUGCGGAAUUCCAGGUGUAGCGGUGAAAUGCGUAGAUAUCUGGAGGAACACCGGUGGCGAAGGCGGCAUCCUGGACCGGCAUUGACGCUGAGGCGCGAAAGCUAGGGGAGCAAACGGG